CGGUUAGGGUUAAUUCGAGUUGGAACAGUUCAAUUCAAAAAAUUUGGGUUAAUUCGGGUUAGAAGUAAUAAUAAUGUAAAAAAAAUGGUUUGCUGAUUCAUAAUUUUGACUCAUUUGCUAAUAAUAAUAAUAAUGUAAAAAAAUGGUUUCAAUUGAACUGUAUUGGCACGCCUGGGGUUACUCACAUUUACUAACAGCUUACUUACAAUAUGGCAUUAUUUACAACUCAAUGGUGAUUGACUGAUUGCUUUGAUAGUUGAUUGAGAGCGUAAAGAUUUGGCAAUUGGCAGAAUUAUAGAGCAUGGAAGAGAGCUUAAGAUCAAAUAAUUACUGACCUUGAUGUUGAUGAGUUGAUGGAUCGGAUGGAUUGGAAGCUAGGCAGAGAUGGAAGUGAGUCAAGAGACGGCAGCUAGUUUGGAAGCGAACGGCACAGGGUGAACGGCUGCGGGCUGCGAGCGUCGGCAGUGUGGCCGUGUGGGAGUGAGUCAGCCGCGAGCGCGAGGUGAACGGCUUUGGGCUGCGAGCGUGUAGAGGGCGUGCUGAGGGCGAGCGUGAAUUAACUACGAAAAGUGAAUUAACUACGAUGCUGAGUGGGGCCUUCUACGAUGAUAGGCGUGUCGUCUGUCUGAACGCAAUCUUAAACCGUCGGUGAAACGUAAAGCUAAUCGUACGGCUGCGGCACGGGUACCUUCCCAUAUCAGAAAGAUUUUGCAAAUUUGAUGAAGUGGACCGGUCAAAAUAUGGGCCGUGUGGGGCCGACGGCCAUGGUGUUUGCGAUGUAGCAGUCAAAGGACGCUGCCGUUCGGAAUUUUGAAAUUUGUAUUAGGCUCUGUUUGUUACAGCUUAUUAAAUAGAGUUUAUAACAGUAGAGCUUAUAGCAGUAGAGCUUAUACCAAUAAAACUUUUGCACAAAAAGUUAUUGAGUGUUUGAUUGUCAAUAAAAAAAACACUUUUAAACCAUUAAACUAUGUGAUAUUUUUUAUAUUAUCUAUUUUUAGAAAAGCUCUAUAACCUCCACUCCCAAAAGCUCAAAUUUUGGGCUUUUACUAAUAGAGGUAAAUUAGCUUAUUUAAACUAAAAAAACUCUACUAAAAAAAUAACCAAACACCAUAAAAAUUUUAAAAAAGUGCUUAUACGAUUAAAUAAGUACUUAUGACUCUUAAAUAAGCCAUACCAAACAGACACUUAGUCCCCGACGUGCAUACACCAUCUGUCCACUCAACACAAGUUGCCUAAAGACAGGGAAUCGAAAAGGAAUAAAAAUAAAAAUUUAAAUAAAAACCAAUUACUAGAUGUUAUUUCGUCAUGCCAUUUAGUGAUGUACAUAUAUAUUAAGUUCAUCAAAUUUAUAAUUAG
This 1356-nucleotide long non-coding RNA is filed under the name Citrus maxima (pomelo). RNAcentral describes it as "long non-coding RNA (CMAX_LNC002032)". Lineage: Eukaryota; Viridiplantae; Streptophyta; Magnoliopsida; Sapindales; Rutaceae. The record is from RNAcentral.